CCUACGGGAGGCAGCAGUGGGGAAUAUUGGACAAUGGGGGAAACCCUGAUCCAGCGACGCCGCGUGAGUGAAGAAGUAUUUCGGUACGUAAAGCUCUAUCAGCAGGAAAGAAAAUGACGGUACCUGACUAAGAAGCCCCGGCUAACUACGUGCCAGCAGCCGUGGUAAUACGUAGGGGGCAAGCGUUAUCCGGAUUUACUGGGGGUAAAGGGAGCGUAGACGGGAGCACAAGUCUGGAGUUAAAUGCCGGGGGCCAACCCCGGAACUGCUCUGGAAACUGUGAGGCUGGAGUGGAGGAGAGGUAAGCGGAAUGCGUGGUGUAGCGGUGAAAUGCGUAGAUAUCAGGAGGAACACCGGCGGCGAAGGCAGCUUGCUGGACUGUAACUGACGUUGAGGCUCGAAGGCGUGGGGAGCAAACAGGAUUAGAUACCCGUGUAGUC
This 440-nucleotide ribosomal RNA is filed under the name uncultured bacterium. RNAcentral's name for it is "partial 16S ribosomal RNA". It matches the Rfam family "Bacterial small subunit ribosomal RNA", at positions 338 to 795 of the family's 1533-position model. The record is from RNAcentral.